GUUGACCUCGAAUCAGGUAGGACUACCCGCUGAACUUAAGCAUA
RNAcentral lists this ribosomal RNA (44 nucleotides) under Metarhizium anisopliae. RNAcentral's name for it is "partial 28S ribosomal RNA". The record is from RNAcentral. RNAcentral also lists the same sequence under 2 other names. Lineage: Eukaryota; Fungi; Ascomycota; Sordariomycetes; Hypocreales; Clavicipitaceae.